Molecule: non-coding RNA, 73 nt
Organism: Paramuricea clavata
Lineage: Eukaryota; Metazoa; Cnidaria; Anthozoa; Malacalcyonacea; Plexauridae
Source: the annotation of a GenBank genome assembly
GACCGCGUAGCUCAGUUGGAAGAGCAUUGGGCUAGUAUUCCAAAGGUCGUAGGUUCGAAUACCGCCGUGGCCA